Cyprinus carpio (common carp) is the source of this 2668-nucleotide long non-coding RNA. RefSeq lists it as uncharacterized. The transcript is spliced from 5 exons. The record is from RefSeq and is a predicted model, not a curated record. Lineage: Eukaryota; Metazoa; Chordata; Actinopteri; Cypriniformes; Cyprinidae.
AGCAAAAUCCACCAGAUUCUUGUUCUAAAUCUCACAGACUACCACUGGCUUUUAUUUCGAUAGGCCAUAUUUACUAUUACUUCCGGGUCACGUGGCCAACCUGUCUGUAUUUCAAUGUAGAUCUUCAAACGAAAAAAUGGAAAAAGGAAUUUCAAAAAACCAAAAUCGGACCGUUAUUUGAUUUUGGUUUUGUCAUUUUCGUUUUUGGAUUCAGAACCAAAACCGGGAGAACGGCUCUGUUUUUACCGUUUCUUUGUUUUUGGUUUGAAACGACAAACGAAAAACAGGUGGUUUCUCGUUAUUUUGUUUUGUGUUUCAAACGAAAAAACAAACUAUCAAAACGUACACGGACCGAUCAAGCCUUCUCCUUUUCCAUGAUAUCUGAUCUCGGGAAUUUCCGCACUAGAUACACACGUGACGUCUUUACUCACCUCCCGCAUCACCAGCACGUUUAUCUUGAAGAGGAAAGGUGGUUUUAACGAACCAGAUCACCACACAUGUGGGCGAGAAGGUUCACUGUCCUCAGAGGAAUCAGGCAGAUGGUAGGAAGAGGCUUCCAUCGUCUGCUGGAGUCUGAAGUUUUUGUGUAAAAGGGAUUCAAUGGUGAUAAAUUAGACCAGAAAUUCCCGUCAAGAGGCUCUUCUGUUUCAUCCCUCCCUGAUGAGCUGUUCUCUGAUCUGGUUGAUGGAAGCCAUCGUUCCGAGCCAUUCCUAGAUGGUAUGUGGGACAAAUGAGCGUCAGACAUGACCUUCCAAACAAGCAGCUGUUGUAGGUUCUUUGGAAUUAUACAUGCUUGAUCUUGAUGAAGAUAGUAUGACGAUAACCAGGGGGCUGAAACCGCAAUCCUCUCACUCAAAAAACCUGUCUGGGCCUUCUGUGAAUCCCACGACUUCUCUGAUUCCAUGGCUGUGCAGUGACCUGUGUCUUCUGUCACUCUAUAUAUGGACCAGUGCAUGGAUCCUCCAGCAAACGUCCAGGUGUACAGUGAAAAAAAAGUCUUGUUUGGGGGCAAAGCUUUGAGGAAAGAGAUACAAGCUCUGUUCUUGUGUUGUCUAACAGGCACAUGUUCCUGUCCUGUAACUGUACCCCCGGACACCUCUUUCUUUACGUCCCACUGUUCCACUCGGCAAGGUAUUUUAGAAUUUUUGUUUGGACCUUCAGUGUCUACGGAGGAGGACUCUGUUUGUGACAGCCGCGCUGGGAAACACAUGGAGUCAUUGUGUUAAUGCGCUCAUUGUCCAGUACGAGGACACAGAACAGAGACAGAUCAUCAUAGCCAAAUCACCCGUGGCCCCUUUUGCCGUGCUGAGCUACACCGUUCAGAGGGAGGGCAUCCGUCUCGAGGGGAGUGAAAACCCAGAAAGUGUUUUAAACCAAGGAACAGAUCCAGGGCUUCAACCAAUCAGAGUGAGGACGGGGUUCAUCUACAACCUUUCCCAGGCCACACCUUCUACUUGUUAACAACUUCCUUUGGCUGCAGAACGUAAUGGCUGUUAUUCCUCUGUUUUUAACAAAUGUGAAGUGGCUUAUGUUUUCUAUGUCAGUUGAACUCUCAAUGCCGUGCAUUAUCUGAAGAUAACAGCAUUAUCUUCAUUUGAACAUCAAGGUUAUUUCGAUGGUCAUUUUUGAUAAUUAUAGAUACUAGCAUGAGGCAAACAGAAUUUAAUAUUUAUCAUCCACCAAAGAUAUUCCUAAGAAUUAAAUACUGAUCGCUAUAGAGUUUCUUUCAGGUACAAGCCAUGGUUAAACAUUGCAGGAACAUGUGGUGGAUCAGCAAAGAGCGACAGACGCAAAGCAAACAGAUCGGGCCCACAGCACACUCCCCUUCGCAGAACAUGACCUCAGUUCUCAUCCAGUUAGAAAACUGCAGCAUCAGUCAGCUAUUGAUUGACAGACGUAUUUUUCCUGUCGCUGGUGGAGUGAUAAGACAGCAGUCUUGAACAAACGCUUCUUGACCCUGACUGCCCGUUGCCAUGGCUUCUAUUCCCAUGACUCCUGUUCCCAUGGUUCCUCUGCCUUAAAGGGAAGUUUGUCUGAUUAGAUGAACAAUGGUGUUAUUUUGGGUGGUUCCUACUUUUUCGUCUUGUUUUGCUUUUGGUUGUAAAUGUGCUCAUAUACACAUAUACACAUUUCUUUUUUUUCAUAAUUUUUUUUUUUUUUUUGUAUUUAUAUUUAUGAUCUGUUCCUUCCUAAUACGGCUUUUAUAGACCUCGAACACUAAUAAAUGAGACUGAUUUUCAAACUCAAACUCAACAUCUUCCAAACUCGAUUUUAUCAUCAUCUCGUAAGUAGAUUCUGCUGACUGUGCAAAGCUCUCUCGGCCAGCAGAUAGAGUCAGUUGUGACAACCCAACAUGCAGUGCUGAGUAGGUGUGUAUCUUUGUCUUUCACCCCCCCCCCCCAUAGGCCGGCUGUGAUAGGCUGAGAGCUGAUAUGUUUUGACAGAUCUUUUAAUGGUCGACCUGUGCCUGUGCCUGUACUGAAGGGAGGAAUACUCUCCUUCCUUCCAAAGAAACUCCUUCCUCUCCUGCAAAACAGAAGGCUCUGGAGGGAGGCAUAAAAAGAGCAGAGAGUCAUGAGAUCCUGACGUGGUUGCAAAGUCCAUGGUGAUAUGUGCUCCUUCUUCACAUCAGGCUUUCUCUGAGUGCCACAAUACAAACCAACCACAC